RNAcentral lists this ribosomal RNA (465 nucleotides) under uncultured Klebsiella sp. RNAcentral's name for it is "bacterial SSU rRNA". It matches the Rfam family "Bacterial small subunit ribosomal RNA", at positions 338 to 795 of the family's 1533-position model. The record is from RNAcentral. Lineage: Bacteria; Pseudomonadati; Pseudomonadota; Gammaproteobacteria; Enterobacterales; Enterobacteriaceae.
CCUACGGGUGGCUGCAGUGGGGAAUAUUGCACAAUGGGCGCAAGCCUGAUGCAGCCAUGCCGCGUGUGUGAAGAAGGCCUUCGGGUUGUAAAGCACUUUCAGCGGGGAGGAAGGCGUUAAGGUUAAUAACCUUGUCGAUUGACGUUACCCGCAGAAGAAGCACCGGCUAACUCCGUGCCAGCAGCCGCGGUAAUACGGAGGGUGCAAGCGUUAAUCGGAUUUACUGGGCGUAAAGCGCACGCAGGCGGUCUGUCAAGUCGGAUGUGAAAUCCCCGGGCUCAACCUGGGAACUGCAUUCGAAACUGGCAGGCUAGAGUCUUGUAGAGGGGGGUAGAAUUCCAGGUGUAGCGGUGAAAUGCGUAGAGAUCUGGAGGAAUACCGGUGGCGAAGGCGGCCCCCUGGACAAAGACUGACGCUCAGGUGCGAAAGCGUGGGGAGCAAACAGGAUUAGAUACCCGAGUAGUC